AGCGAACGCUGGCGGCAGGCUUAACACAUGCAAGUCGAGCGCCCCGCAAGGGGAGUGGCAGACGGGUGAGUAACACGUGGGAACGUACCCUUUGGUUCGGAAUAACUUGGGGAAACUCAAGCUAAUACCGGAUAAGCCCUUAUGGGGAAAGGUUUACUGCCGAAGGAUCGGCCCGCGUCUGAUUAGCUAGUUGGUGAGGUAAUGGCUCACCAAGGCGACGAUCAGUCGCUGGUCUGAGAGGAUGAUCAGCCACACUGGGACUGAGACACGGCCCAGACUCCUACGGGAGGCAGCAGUGGGGAAUAUUGGACAAUGGGGGCAACCCUGAUCCAGCCAUGCCGCGUGAGUGAUGAAGGCCUCAGGGUUGUAAAGCUCUUUUACCCGGGACGAUAAUGACUGUACCGGGAGAAUAAGCCCCGGCUAACUUCGUGCCAGCCGCCGCAGUAA
RNAcentral lists this ribosomal RNA (447 nucleotides) under uncultured bacterium. RNAcentral's name for it is "partial 16S ribosomal RNA". It matches the Rfam family "Bacterial small subunit ribosomal RNA", at positions 29 to 523 of the family's 1533-position model. The record is from RNAcentral.